RNAcentral lists this ribosomal RNA (253 nucleotides) under uncultured bacterium. RNAcentral's name for it is "partial 16S ribosomal RNA". It matches the Rfam family "Bacterial small subunit ribosomal RNA", at positions 524 to 776 of the family's 1533-position model. The record is from RNAcentral.
UACGUAGGCAGCGAGCGUUGUUCGGAGUUACUGGGCGUAAAGAGUGCGUAGGCGGUUUUCUAAGUUUGGUGUGAAAUCCCCCGGCUUAACUGGGAGGGUGCGCCGAAAACUGGAAGGCUUGAGUAUGGGAGAGGUAAGCGGAAUUCCUGGUGUAGCGGUGAAAUGCGUAGAUAUCAGGAGGAACACCUGCGGUGUAGACGGCUUACUGGACCAUAACUGACGCUGAGGCACGAAAGCGUGGGUAGCAAACAGG